GAUGAACGCUAGCGGCAGGCUUAACACAUGCAAGUCGAGGGGUAUAGUUCUUCGGAACUAGAGACCGGCGCACGGGUGCGUAACGCGUAUGCAAUCUACCUUUUGCAGAGGGAUAGCCCAGAGAAAUUUGGAUUAAUACCUCAUAGUAUGUGAGAAUGGCAUCAUUUUCACAUUAAAGUCACAACGGCAAAAGAUGAGCAUGCGUCCCAUUAGCUUGUUGGUAAGGUAACGGCUUACCAAGGCAACGAUGGGUAGGGGUCCUGAGAGGGAGAUCCCCCACACUGGUACUGAGACACGGACCAGACUCCUACGGGAGGCAGCAGUGGGGAAUAUUGGACAAUGGGCGAAAGCCUGAUCCAGCAAUGCCGCGUGAGUGAUGAAGGCCUUAGGGUGUAAAGCUCUUUUACCCGGGAUGAUAAUGACAGUACCGGGAGAAUAAGCUCCGGCUAACUCCGUGCCAGCAGCCGCGGUAAU
RNAcentral lists this ribosomal RNA (474 nucleotides) under uncultured bacterium. RNAcentral's name for it is "bacterial SSU rRNA". It matches the Rfam family "Bacterial small subunit ribosomal RNA", at positions 28 to 524 of the family's 1533-position model. The record is from RNAcentral.